GGGGGGGGGGGGGUUUCGUGUGUCCCCCGUCCCCCCUGGGAUUUCCGCGCUAUGUGGGAAUAGGGAUUUAAAAAUAGUAGGAAGUUUUUCGGCAGUACACGGGAGGGUUUUAAUAGUGUUAGGAUUUAUGUUUAUGCACUAUAGCCUGUUAGCAUAUUGUUUGAAGAUGAAUAUUGUUUUGUUACACACACACAAACAAUACAGAUGGGUGUGUGUAAAGACUGACCACAGCUUUUAUGGCCUGUGUUGGUCAGUCUGGAGAGGGGAGGGGUGCAUGUCUCUAGGCCAACCAGGAGGUUAGAAUACUGGACAAUACCAUAUUAGGAACUGUUUCAGUGUAGAAUCUACAGACACAAGACGGAUCUAAUCUACCCAGCAACCAGAUGUGGACAAAGGGAAGCGCCAAGGGGCUUGGACAAAUCCGAGGGCCAGCAAGGGCGGAGCAAAGUCUAAACCGCGCCCAGCCUCUACUGUGAUAGGCCAACAGGCGCGUUGGAACUACGUCAUCAUGGUAUAAGAACAGCUGGUUACGUACUUCCUGCCAGUUCUCCGAUCUACCCUGCGUGGAGAUACUGUGAACUCGUAUAUACGAAAAUUGCAUUUGCUAUUCAUUGUUUGCGGUAAUUAAACAUAAUUAAAGAAAGUUAGCAGACCUUGCUUUUUAUUUAUCCUGACACCGGAUGUGUUACACGCAGCGUUCACAAUAGUAGAUAUCAAUUGGAGGGGGUUUCUCACACACCCAAAGACAGAUGGCUGGCACAGGAAAGGCCUUGAUCAAGAGUGCUUGGGUCUGCAUUUCACGAGAUAAGACACACACACACAUACCCAAGGACGGAGGGCUGACUACGCACACACAAAAUCUCCUGUUUAGCUGAACAUUUGGUAACAAAGAACUUUUGCUAUAAGACUCAGAAGGAUGACGCCCAGCUCAUCAGGACCAAUCUGAGAAGACAACAACCUGUCCAGAACCAACCAAAGGACCAGAACUUCCAGACUCAACCUACUUUCUGUGUUGUAUAAAAUGUCUAUGCAUUCUGUUAUCUGGGCUUUUUCUGGAGGUUCUCUAUGAGCCGAAGGAACGAGACCGUAUACGCUUGUACCAGAUAUCUUUACUCAUAAUUAAACUGUCGCUUGUCAUACAAUUUA
Salvelinus fontinalis (brook trout) is the source of this 1146-nucleotide long non-coding RNA. RefSeq lists it as uncharacterized. The transcript has 2 exons. Lineage: Eukaryota; Metazoa; Chordata; Actinopteri; Salmoniformes; Salmonidae. The record is from RefSeq and is a predicted model, not a curated record.